RNAcentral lists this ribosomal RNA (427 nucleotides) under uncultured bacterium. RNAcentral's name for it is "partial 16S ribosomal RNA". It matches the Rfam family "Bacterial small subunit ribosomal RNA", at positions 355 to 774 of the family's 1533-position model. The record is from RNAcentral.
UAGGGAAUCUUCCGCAAUGGACGAAAGUCUGACGGAGCAACGCCGCGUGAGUGAUGAAGGUUUUCGGAUCGUAAAACUCUGUUAUUAGGGAAGAACAAAUGCGUAAGUAACUGUGCGCAUCUUGACGGUACCUAAUCAGAAAGCCACGGCUAACUACGUGCCAGCAGCCGCGGUAAUACGUAGGUGGCAAGCGUUAUCCGGAAUUAUUGGGCGUAAAGCGCGCGUAGGCGGGUUCUUAAGUCUGAUGUGAAAGCCCACGGCUCAACCGUGGAGGGUCAUUGGAAACUGGGAAACUUGAGUACAGAAGAGGAAAGUGGAAUUCCAUGUGUAGCGGUGAAAUGCGCAGAGAUAUGGAGGAACACCAGUGGCGAAGGCGACUUUCUGGUCUGUAACUGACGCUGAUGUGCGAUAGCGUGGGGAUCAAACA